CUAUAGUCAAUCUGCACCUGCAAAAUCAGGUGCCGGGAUUCGAAACCCCGGAUA
Molecule: non-coding RNA, 54 nt
Filed under: Rhodnius prolixus
Lineage: Eukaryota; Metazoa; Arthropoda; Insecta; Hemiptera; Reduviidae
Source: RNAcentral